This 3225-nucleotide long non-coding RNA is filed under the name Malus domestica (apple). Its description in RNAcentral is "long non-coding RNA (MDOM_LNC008984)". The record is from RNAcentral. Lineage: Eukaryota; Viridiplantae; Streptophyta; Magnoliopsida; Rosales; Rosaceae.
GUGCUCUACGCGUCGAUCAAGACAAGGGCUCACACGCAGGCGCACGCAUGGCCUGGUUCUGGGAUGGGCAUGUUAUUAGUUUGGGCCUGGUUGGGUUUGGGCUAAAGUUUGGGUUGAACCGGGUUACAUGGUCUAAUGGAUUUGGGUUGGGGUCGCUAAAACUGAGCUUGCGCCUAGCUAAUUAGGCCGAGUUCCAUGGCCCAAUGAGUUGGGCCAACUCAGGUAUGUAAAUCAGGUUGGUCCAAUUCCAGGCCGGGUUGGCCGAUUUCGUCGGAGAAGAAGGCCGAAGCUAUGCCAACUCCGUUCAACCCCAAAACCUAACUAAAACCUAUCAUGUGAUAUACCAAAAUGAAGCAUAAGGAACAAGGAAGAGAUUCAUAUCAAUUUCAAGACUUUUGGUAGCCGGAGUUGGUCGAAAAAUGGCCUGGAAGCCAUGUGUAUUUGCCGGAAUUUGGGAAAACUCUCCAUCGUGGUUUCUUCAUGAUUUUGACAUAAAAACAUACUAACAUAGUAAAAAUGCACUAGAAAGAUGAAAAUGAAAUGUUUGGAGUGUUUUGAGGCUUACACAUGUCUGGGGUGACGGAGACUUACAUGAGUUCCCACAUGCUCUUGCAUCGGUUUUCGUGGUGUCCAAGUUUUAGAGUCGUCAAAUGUAGGGAGGAGAUGGAUAAGAGAGGUGAGGAAGGUCAUAGAGAGAGGGUUGGUGUGUAUGUGGGUGUGUAAGCUACCCUCGGGGAUGGUUGUUUUCCAAAAUGCGUAGAGGGAGAGAUGAGAGAGAGAGAUAGAGGUCUGAGAGGGAGAGAGAUAUGGUAUAUAGAGAAAGGAAGAGAGGUUGGGUCGGGUGAGACAAAACCCAAAGGGUGGGCCCCACGUGGCUCACCAAUUAAGACUAAAUAGUAACCCAAUUCAAAAUAUCUUAAACCCAAAGUGAAAAUUACCAAGAUACCAUUUCAUUCCAAAAUCCGUAAUAUUAAUCGGGAUGGGUUGUUACAUUGUUAAUUUGAGCCACCUUAGUGAAGAAUGCAGCUUAUGGAUAAUAGCCACACAUGUGACCAACGUGUAUAAGCAUAAACCAAUACCAUAAAAUACAUAAAUGGUCCGUAGGGUGGUUGAAUCAGUCCACAAAUGUCCCUUUUGAAUCCUUUGUAGAAAAAAUGAAGGGUGCUAAAGUAUAAUAUGCGUCCAGGUAUGAUGUUUUUACUUAUGGUAAAAGGAUGCCCAAAACGGGGCAUCACAGAUCAUCCUAGAUAUCCUAAACGUACAUCCCUAACAAAAAUUCCUUUGGAAUCGCGUGCUUUUGGUCUGCCACAUAGUGGGCUUGAAUGAGAGUAAUCCACUCGUUAAGCAUUCUAUCUUCUCUAGAAUAUGCUUCUAGCUAUAUUCGUAGGAAGUGCAAUAUGGUAAUAUGCAAAUGAAUUUUACUCCAUUUUCUACAUUGGUUUCAAUAUGGUAAUAAUACUCUCGAAUAUCCUUAAAGCUCAAAAGAUGUUCUUCCAGAACAAGUAAGUAUAAGGCUUCCCUUUAUGGUAAAAUUAGUACCAUUGGACAAUAUAGGGUAGUGCCAUACCCCAUAAUCAAGUUGGAUACGCCUGAAAGGUUGUCAGGGGAUGAUUAGGUAUGAACUUAGCAUAGAACUAGACUGCUAACUUCCCCACAAAACAUACCUAAGCAUGAGUUAAUUGUAGUCACAUGUGGUAAUUUUCGUUAAUUAACUCUUUAUUUGAGAAUAAUAGUGACAUCCAAACACCAAUCUUAAAUCCAAGAAUAAAAUAAAUUAUUCACAAAGUAAACCAAAUAUACAAGGGGGUUCACCCAAUACGGCCUUCCAUGUUAAAUUUCGCUAUUCCAAAUGUGUUAGAUGGAGCAAAAUUAGUCUCAUAGAUUGACUACUGAAAUGGUACUUCUCAACAACAUUGAUAAAAACACAGAAAAGUGCAUAAUCAAUUAUCUAUGCCGUCAAAACGGAGUUAGAUUUUGCAGGGUUGAGGUUCGGGAAUACUAUCCCUUAUUCUUGAAGUUUUAGGUGCCAAGGAUCAUGCUUAAGGCGUGAUACCACCUCUUGGCAGGUCCAAAUUCUACCAUAGGUUGGAAAACAAACUCAAAAUUAGAUUGUAUGAGAGAAAGAUAGACCCAGACUUGGGUUUGGUAGGCUUCAGCCGAAACUGGAAAGGUCCGUUCGGUAGCCUCUGCUGAAGCAGAGCACUAAUAUUCGAUGCACCUCUACCGAAGUAGAGCAUGCCCUUCGGUGUAUCUCUGUCGAAGCAGAGCAUGCAUGUUGGUGUAUCCUUGCCAAAGCAGGGCAUCACCAUUCGGUAGACUCCAGCUGAAACUGGGUUUAUACCGUUCGAUAGCUCCUAGCUGAAUUACUGGGGUACCAUUCUCUCACGAGUGUGGUAGUAAUCAGAUUCGAGAAUUUGGUAAACUUCCGCUCUCUAUACUGCUACUUCAUGAGCAAUUUCGAUAUAAAAUGACGAGAAAGAUUUUCUUCCAGUCAAAAUUCAAUCGGAUAUAAACUUUAAAAUUGUGCCUAUUCAUGGACGUAAGGUUUCAAUCAUGUUUUGCUUCGGGCAAGAAUUCAUCUUUGCAUGUUUUGAAAUGAUCUAUAGCGUGUCAAAAGAGCCAUGGAGUCCUCAACAUUAAGGUACUUCCGUGUGAUAUGCUUCAGGCAUAAGUCUUCGAAUAAAGAUCAUGGCGAAGGCUUACUCAACUCUUCCACACCUUAACUGGUUACAAUGAUUUCACAACUAGUCAUAGUCAAGCGGGAUGUCAUGUCUUGUAUCCACAUAAAGUAGUUUCUUUGUAGAAACUUCCAAAUCAAUGAAAUCGAACUUAUUAUGGUUUGACAAUACGUUGAAUGGCAGAAACAAGAAUGUGAUUGGUGUUUUAGAAAAUAAAAUUUCCAUAAAUAUCAAAGUUAGAACAUUCAGGUUCUAAGACAUGGUUUGGUUUAAAUGGAUUUAAGCAUGGAGAACUUCGGGUCUCAACAUGAGUGUCGCGCUUUAAGAAACUUUAGGUUUCUAUGGAACUUUUCUGAAACUUGGGGUUCAGAAUUAUGAACUUUAGGUUCAUAAAACCUACAAACAAACGCAAUAUAUACAAGACAAAAAUAUAUAAAGCAAGAGAAAACAAAUAUAUUAUAGUGGGUAGCUUUGGGACCCUUUGUGUGAAAGUUUAGGGAAACGACACUAAAAGUAUGGAGCUUCAAUUCCAAAAAUAUUAUUUUAA